AGCUUUGCACAGUGGCAGUAUCACAGCCAAUGAGUUUUAUCCAAGGUGCAAUUAUUGCUAAUUGAAAACUUUUCCCAACACGCCACAUGACAACUUGAAAUAUAGUUGGCAUUGGCAAAAAAAAAAA
Non-coding RNA from Otolemur garnettii (small-eared galago), 127 nucleotides. The record is from Rfam. Lineage: Eukaryota; Metazoa; Chordata; Mammalia; Primates; Galagidae.